GGAUCAUCAGGUUGGUCGUGCCUCUGGUAUGUACUUUCCUCGAUGGUUCCUCCUUCUUGAAGAUCCGUAAUGUCAUUAAUUUGGUGUUGCGGGGAAUCAGGACUGUUACUUUGAAAAAAUUAGAGUGUUUAAAGCAGGCAAUCGCUUGAAUACAUUAGCAUGGAAUAAUGAAAUAGGACGUUCGAUCCUAUUUUGUUGGUUUCUAGAGUCGCCGUA
RNAcentral lists this ribosomal RNA (216 nucleotides) under uncultured Glomus. RNAcentral describes it as "partial small subunit ribosomal RNA". The stretch from base 28 to 216 matches the Rfam family "Eukaryotic small subunit ribosomal RNA", at positions 674 to 864 of the family's 1831-position model. The record is from RNAcentral. Lineage: Eukaryota; Fungi; Glomeromycota; Glomeromycetes; Glomerales; Glomeraceae.